AUGAACGCUGGCGGCGUGCCUCAUCCAUGCAAGUCGAGCGAACAGACGAGGAGCUUGCUCCUCUGACGUUAGCGGCGGACGGGUGAGUAACACGUGGAUAACCUACCUAUAAGUCUGGGAUAACUUCGGGAAACCGGAGCUAAUACCGGAUAAUAUAUUGAACCGCAUGGUUCAAUAGUGAAUGACGGUUUUGCUGUCACUUAUAGAUGGAUCCGCGCCGCAUUAGCUAGUUGGUAAGGUAACGGCUUACCAAGGCAACGAUGCGUAGCCGACCUGAGAGGGUGAUCAGCCACACUGGAACUGAGACACGGUCCAGACUCCUACGGGAGGCAGCAGUAGGGAAUCUUCCGCAAUGGGCGAAAGCCUGACGGAGCAACGCCGCGUGAGUGAUGAAGGUCUUCGGAUCGUAAAACCCUGUUAUUAGGGAAGAACAAAUGUGUAAGUAACUAUGCACGUCUUGACGGUACCUAAACAGAAAGCCACGGCUAACUACGUG
Molecule: ribosomal RNA, 496 nt
Filed under: uncultured bacterium
Lineage: Bacteria
Description: partial 16S ribosomal RNA
Rfam family: Bacterial small subunit ribosomal RNA
Source: RNAcentral